Sarcophilus harrisii (Tasmanian devil) is the source of this 977-nucleotide long non-coding RNA. RefSeq lists it as uncharacterized. The record is from RefSeq and is a predicted model, not a curated record. Lineage: Eukaryota; Metazoa; Chordata; Mammalia; Dasyuromorphia; Dasyuridae. The transcript has 3 exons.
UACUGUUCCUAUCCAUAUAAUAGGGGAUAAUGUCUUUUCCUAGCAGCAAGUCCCUGAUGUUUUUCACGACUCUGUAAUGUGUCAUGGCUUCUAUAUUACUGCAAAAGUUUCAAUCAUGAUUCUGCCACAGCUAAUAACCACAUAUUGGGAAAAGCCUCUUUGAUGCCUAUAGAAUCCAAACUGGGAUACAUUCCCUAGUCAGCCCAGCUGUUCCUUUGGGUCUAAGUAUUCGCUAACUUAGCUGUGGGGUGUUUAUUUGUUUACUUGUUUUGGGGUUUGAUAUCUUUAAAUUGCCUCAACAAUGUUUUUUCCUUCCUGUUUCAGGUUAAAAAGACUAAAGGUGGCUCCUUUUUAAUGAGCUGUGAAAGAUGAGGAAACUGAAGCAGACAGAAAUUAAAUGACUUCCCAAGUCACAUGACUGGUAUAAUGGCGCAUGUGCAGACCUCAUCAGCUGGCUCAAUUGAUGCAACCUCUCCAAUACAAGUCAUGGCUUACAAUUAAAUUAGUUCAAUACUGAUGCACUAAGAAGCAAGAAGUAAUAUUUGGAAAUGACAUUUGGAACCUCAGACUAGAGGAAGAAUCCUUCUGGGAGACAUGCUGCAUCUGUACAUGAACUUAUGUAGCAGAAGCUAUGCAGGAAAUUCAUUGUAAUGAAUGUAUUUGAACAAAAAUCAAAGUGAUAAAAGGGAGAUGUACUUUGGGAAUAUUGGGGGAAAUGCUCAUAGAAUUAUUCUUGUUAUAGCUUUGAAGUAAAAACUACUUGAUAUGAAAUGGAAUUGGGGUGCUAAUAAUGGAGCUUUAACGAUGGGAAAAUAUAACCCAUUGGAGCUUGAGGUAGUAUCAUAGAAAAGAGAUACCCUAUGCAUGAGGGGAAUUUCCCCCCGAGGGAGAGAUGUAGCUUGCUUGUCUGUGAGAGAGAGAAGCCCAGAGCAUACUAAUAAUGAUAAUAAUGACAAUAACAACAAUAAAAACUAUGA